CUACGUGCCAGCAGCCGCGGUAAUACGGAAGGUCCAGGCGUUAUCCGGAUUUAUUGGGUUUAAAGGGAGCGUAGGCUGGAGAUUAAGUGUGUUGUGAAAUGUAGACGCUCAACGUCUGAAUUGCAGCGCAUACUGGUUUCCUUGAGUACGCACAACGUUGGCGGAAUUCGUCGUGUAGCGGUGAAAUGCUUAGAUAUGACGAAGAACUCCGAUUGCGAAGGCAGCUGACGGGAGCGCAACUGACGCUUAAGCUCGAAGGUGCGGGUAUCAAACAGGAUUAGAUACCCUGGUAGUCCCGGCCGUAAACGAUGAUUACUGGGUGUGGGCAGGAAGACUGUCUGUGCCGAAGCGAAUGCGAUAAGUAAUCCGCCUGGGGAGUACGGCCGCAAGGCUGAAACUCAAAGGAAUUGACGGGGACCCGCACAAGCGGUGGAGCAUGUGGUUUAAUUCGACGCAACGCGAGGAACCUUACCAGAUCUUGACAUCCCG
Molecule: ribosomal RNA, 489 nt
Filed under: uncultured bacterium
Lineage: Bacteria
Description: bacterial SSU rRNA
Rfam family: Bacterial small subunit ribosomal RNA
Source: RNAcentral